ACCAUUUCAGAGGCACUUUGAGGACAUCAUUGCUGAUGCACCUGUGCAGGAUAAGGGGGAGACAAAUGAAUACUACUCUCCCACAUUUAUGCCAAAUCUGGUGAAGCUCUUCCUGCCUCAGGCUCAUCUCUGGUCCGCACUUAUGCUGGGAGAUUUGAGCCGCCAUGGAAAGGGUCCUGCCUACCAAAAUCUGUCAAAGAAAUUUGAGAGAUGCUGUCAGCUGGACACACAGAAUUAUACCAGUGACAAUAAAACACAAGGCAUCAUGGAGAAAAGGCAGUGGGACCUGAAGCAUGUGCGCUUUCAAAGACA
Cyprinus carpio carpio is the source of this 312-nucleotide long non-coding RNA. Lineage: Eukaryota; Metazoa; Chordata; Actinopteri; Cypriniformes; Cyprinidae. The record is from Ensembl.